AUAAAUAGUUUAAACUCUAAAACAUACACUGAAAAUGUUAAAUGACUUAGUCUUUUUCCAAAUUA
Molecule: transfer RNA, 65 nt
Filed under: Nodularia douglasiae
Lineage: Eukaryota; Metazoa; Mollusca; Bivalvia; Unionida; Unionidae
Description: tRNA-Phe
Source: RNAcentral